RNAcentral lists this transfer RNA (77 nucleotides) under Omnitrophica WOR_2 bacterium RIFCSPHIGHO2_01_FULL_49_10. RNAcentral's name for it is "tRNA-Ile". It matches the Rfam family "tRNA". From Rfam's summary of the family: Transfer RNA (tRNA) molecules are approximately 80 nucleotides in length. Their secondary structure includes four short double-helical elements and three loops (D, anti-codon, and T loops). Lineage: Bacteria; Pseudomonadati; Candidatus Omnitrophota. RNAcentral also lists the same sequence under 4 other names. The record is from RNAcentral.
GGGCCCAUAGCUCAGUUGGUUAGAGCACAGCCCUGAUAAGACUGGGGUCAGUGGUUCGAAUCCACUUGGGCCCACCA